CUACGGGGUGCUCCAGGCGAGAAAACUUUGCAAUGUGCGAAAGCACGACAAGGUUAAUCCGAGUGGUUUCUGCUAAAGGAACCUUUUGUCGGUCCUAGAAACACCGAUGAAUAAGGGGUGGGCAAGUUCUGGUGUCAGCCGCCGCGGUAAAACCAGCACCUCAAGUUGUCAGGAUGAUUAUUGGGCCUAAAGCAUCCGUAGCCGGCUCUGUUAGUUUUCGGUUAAAUCUGUAUGCUCAACAUACGGGCUGCCGGGAAUACUGCAGAGCUAGGGAGUGGGAGAGGUAGACGGUACUCGGUAGGAAGGGGUAAAAUCCUUUGAUCUAUUGAUGACCACCUGUGGCGAAGGCGGUCUACCAGAACACGUCCGACGGUGAGGGAUGAAAGCUGGGGGAGCAAACCGGAUUAGAUACCCGGGUAGUC
Molecule: ribosomal RNA, 422 nt
Filed under: uncultured archaeon
Lineage: Archaea
Description: partial 16S ribosomal RNA
Rfam family: Archaeal small subunit ribosomal RNA
Source: RNAcentral